RNAcentral lists this ribosomal RNA (484 nucleotides) under uncultured bacterium. RNAcentral's name for it is "partial 16S ribosomal RNA". It matches the Rfam family "Bacterial small subunit ribosomal RNA", at positions 29 to 507 of the family's 1533-position model. The record is from RNAcentral.
AUUGAACGCUGGCGGCAUGCUUUACACAUGCAAGUCGAACGGCAGCGCGGGCUUCGGCCUGGCGGCGAGUGGCGAACGGGUGAGUAAUGCAUCGGAACGUGCCCAGUAGUGGGGGAUAGCCCGGCGAAAGCCAGAUUAAUACCGCAUACGACCUGAGGGUGAAAGCGGGGGACCGAAAGGCCUCGCGCUAUUGGAGCGGCCGAUGUCGGAUUAGCUAGUUGGUGGGGUAAAGGCUUACCAAGGCGACGAUCCGUAGCUGGUCUGAGAGGACGACCAGCCACACUGGGACUGAGACACGGCCCAGACUCCUACGGGAGGCAGCAGUGGGGAAUUUUGGACAAUGGGGGCAACCCUGAUCCAGCCAUGCCGCGUGCGGGAAGAAGGCCUUCGGGUUGUAAACCGCUUUUGUUCGGGAAGAAAUCCUCUGGGCUAAUACCCCGGGGGGAUGACGGUACCGGAAGAAUAAGCAUCGGCUAACUACGUG